RNAcentral lists this ribosomal RNA (1313 nucleotides) under Opisa takafuminakanoi. RNAcentral's name for it is "partial 28S ribosomal RNA". It matches the Rfam family "Eukaryotic large subunit ribosomal RNA", at positions 104 to 906 of the family's 3401-position model. Lineage: Eukaryota; Metazoa; Arthropoda; Malacostraca; Amphipoda; Opisidae. The record is from RNAcentral.
AAGCCCAGCGCAGAACCUCCCGGGCCACCCGGCCCGCGGCGGAAUGUUGCGUUAAGGGAAAGGUCGUAGUCAAACCCUACAACCACACGAACUCUAAGUCAGCCACGAAUAGGCUAUCCCAACUAACGGCGGGAGCGACUCCACGGAGGGUGUAAGACCCGUGUGGGCGUGUGUUAAAGUUGUAUGGGCUCGGCCUCUUCCCUGAGAGUCGCGUUGCUUGAGCAUGCAGCGCUAAGCAGGUCGUAGACUCGAUCUAAGGCUAAAUAUAUCCACAGGACCGAUAGCAAACAAGUACCGUGAGGGAAAGUUGAAAAGCACUCUGAAGAGAGAGUCAAAAGACCGUGAAACCGUUCAGAGUAUAAGCCCAUGGCACUUGGAAGGCUCCCGUAGCGGCGUAUCUUCUUUCGAGAGGGUGCGACAGUUAUAGACUGAAAGGUUCGUUAAAGGUACGAGUCUUGAGUGACUACGGCCAACUGUGCGGGAGGGAGAUCAGGCGUGAGGGUGUGUGCGGGAUUUCGGGUGCUCACGCGCUCGUUGUUCCGUACCUCCUUUGCGUCCUUCCUCUUUUGAAUGGACGUUCAUGGUCAUAUAGCUAUUACGGUACAUGCCCACCACAGUUUGUUGUGAGGUCACCCGCAGGCUCAAACAGUCGAUCGUGUGCCCCAGUGUGUCUCAUGCAGUGUCCUUACGCUUCACCAGCAUUCAGCGGUGAUUCGCUAGCAUGUUCUGUACGCACUCGGGGCCAGGCGGCGAAACGAGAAUCCAUCCUGGUAUGAUCCUCUUGCGACAAUCUGAUUCUGACCGAGUUCUGUAGCUGCCCAUCCGGUGCCCAUGUGUCGGGCAUUGGAUUGGCUAGCACCCUUGCCUGUAUGCCCCUCUGGACGAUGUAACAGUCGACAAGCUCUCAGGUUGGGUGGCUACGUUUUACUCGUGUGGUGUUAAGUCCGGUGCCAUCGGUCACGUCUCGAAACACGGGCCAAGGAGUAUAGCAUGUGUGCAAGUUUAAGGGUCUCACAAAACCCGAAGGCGAAGUGAAAGCAAAGGUGUGGCGAGAACGCUUCGGCAAUCUCGUCCUCUUGGUGUCAAAACCUGGUUUUUACCGAGUUGAUCUUGUUCUGUUGGCAAUGUCUCAAGGCAAGCGCAAGCUCCGGGCUCACCUCUUUAGCACUGGUUUCAUUCGUGAGGCUGUGUUGUGAGCACCGUGUAGCAUGCAUGCUAUAACCCGAAAGAUAGUGAACUAUGCCUGGCGAGGGCGAAGCCCCAGGAAACUGGGGUGGAGGCCCGUAGCCGUUGUGACGUGCAAAUCCAUGGUA